CCUACGGGUGGCAGCAGUGAGGAAUAUUGGUCAAUGGACGAGAGUCUGAACCAGCCAAGUAGCGUGAAGGAUGACUGCCCUAUGGGUUGUAAACUUCUUUUAUAUGGGAAUAAAAUGUUCCACGUGUGGGAUUUUGUAUGUACCAUAUGAAUAAGGAUCGGCUAACUCCGUGCCAGCAGCCGCGGUAAUACGGAGGAUCCGAGCGUUAUCCGGAUUUAUUGGGUUUAAAGGGAGCGUAGGUGGAUUGUUAAGUCAGUUGUGAAAGUUUGCGGUUCAACCGUAAAAUUGCAGUUGAAACUGGCAGUCUUGAGUACAGUAGAGGUGGGCGGAAUUCGUGGUGUAGCGGUGAAAUGCUUAGAUAUCACGAAGAACUCCGAUUGCGAAGGCAGUUCACUGGACUGCAACUGACACUGAGGCUCGAAAGUGUGGGUAUCAAACAGGAUUAGAUACCCUAGUAGUC
Molecule: ribosomal RNA, 460 nt
Filed under: uncultured bacterium
Lineage: Bacteria
Description: partial 16S ribosomal RNA
Rfam family: Bacterial small subunit ribosomal RNA
Source: RNAcentral